GACGAACGCUGGCGGCGUGCUUAACACAUGCAAGUCGAACGGACAGACAGAGAGCUUGCUCUCUUGAAGUUAGUGGCGAACGGGUGAGUAACGCGUAAUCAACCUGCCCUUCAGAGGGGGAUAACAACGGGAAACCGUUGCUAAUACCGCGUACGAUUCAUGAACGGCAUCGUUUAUGAAUGAAAGGUGGCCUCUAUGUAUAAGCUAUCGCUGAAGGAGGGGAUUGCGGCUGAUUAGCUAGUUGGAGGGGUAACGGCCCACCAAGGCAAUGAUCAGUAGCCGCUCUGAGAGGAUGAACGGCCACAUUGGGACUGAGACACGGCCCAAACUCCUACGGGAGGCAGCAGUGGGGAAUCUUCCGCAAUGGACGAAGGUCUGACGGAGCAACGCAGCGUGAGUGAUGAAGGUCUUCGGAUUGUAAAGCUCUGUUAAUCGGGACGAAAGAGUUCUGCGUGAAUAAUGCAGAAAAGUGACGGUACCGGAAUAGAAAGCCACGGCUAACUACGUGCCAGCCGCCGCCGUAA
RNAcentral lists this ribosomal RNA (524 nucleotides) under uncultured bacterium. RNAcentral describes it as "partial 16S ribosomal RNA". It matches the Rfam family "Bacterial small subunit ribosomal RNA", at positions 28 to 523 of the family's 1533-position model. The record is from RNAcentral.